Molecule: ribosomal RNA, 494 nt
Filed under: uncultured bacterium
Lineage: Bacteria
Description: bacterial SSU rRNA
Rfam family: Bacterial small subunit ribosomal RNA
Source: RNAcentral
AUUGAACGCUGGCGGCAUGCUUUACACAUGCAAGUCGAACGGUAACAGGUCUUUCGGGAUGCUGACGAGUGGCGAACGGGUGAGUAAUGUAUCGGAGCGUGCCCAGUAGUGGGGGAUAACUACUCGAAAGAGUGGCUAAUACCGCAUGAGAUCUCUGGAUGAAAGCGGGGGACCGUAAGGCCUCGCGCUACUGGAGCGGCCGAUAUCAGAUUAGGUAGUUGGUGGGGUAAAGGCCUACCAAGCCUGCGAUCUGUAGCUGGUCUGAGAGGACGACCAGCCACACUGGGACUGAGACACGGCCCAGACUCCUACGGGAGGCAGCAGUGGGGAAUUUUGGACAAUGGGCGCAAGCCUGAUCCAGCAAUGCCGCGUGCAGGACGAAGGCCUUCGGGUUGUAACUAGCUUUUGUACGGAACGAAAGACCUUCUUCUAAUACAGGAGGGUCAUGACGGUACCGUAAGAAUAAGCACCGGCUAACUACGUGCCAGCAGCCG